This 413-nucleotide ribosomal RNA is filed under the name Klebsiella pneumoniae. Its description in RNAcentral is "bacterial LSU rRNA". It matches the Rfam family "Bacterial large subunit ribosomal RNA", at positions 1373 to 1782 of the family's 2925-position model. The record is from RNAcentral. Lineage: Bacteria; Pseudomonadati; Pseudomonadota; Gammaproteobacteria; Enterobacterales; Enterobacteriaceae.
GGCAGGGUGAGUCGACCCCUAAGGCGAGGCCGAAAGGCGUAGUCGAUGGGAAACAGGUUAAUAUUCCUGUACUUGGUGUUACUGCGAAGGGGGGACGGAGAAGGCUAUGUUAGCCGGGCGACGGUUGUCCCGGUUUAAGCAUGUAGGCUGAUUGUCCAGGCAAAUCCGGAUAAUCAAGGCUGAGGUGUGAUGACGAGGCACUACGGUGCUGAAGUAACAAAUGCCCUGCUUCCAGGAAAAGCCUCUAAGCAUCAGGUAACAUUAAAUCGUACCCCAAACCGACACAGGUGGUCAGGUAGAGAAUACCAAGGCGCUUGAGAGAACUCGGGUGAAGGAACUAGGCAAAAUGGUGCCGUAACUUCGGGAGAAGGCACGCUGGUGUGUAGGUGAAGUCCCUGCGGAUGGAGCUGAGA